GAUCACGCCGCUUGCCGACGAUUUCAACCGGAAGGUGUAUGUAUGCAUGGUGCGUCGAACAUCCGUGAACGCAGCGACAGACGGCGCUAGGGGUAGCAAACAAAACACGGAGUUCGGUUGGCGCAGUGGUAAAAACAUGCAGAAGAAAAGCACCAAAACGUGAAGGCGAGGAGCGUACCGCCUGCGAUGGAAUUUGCCGUGGAAAAACGGAACAUAUUUGUAAAUUAACGAUGGGAUUUCGACAUGCGGAGGCCGCCAGUGGAACCAACGAGUGACUCGUCGAUAAGGACAGACGCUCGACGGAAAAGGUGAUCCGUGUAUGAUUGUAGAUUUUAACAGUUGAAAUUGUCUCAACCAAUGCAAGACACAGAUAUCACGAGUUCUAUUUCGCCUCUGCUCCAUGUUCAGGAUUAUGAUGUCUGUGAGAAACUUGGAACGGGAAAGGGUGUAAAAAAAUUAUUGCCAAGAAAACCUCCUACCUCAUUAAUUAUGGAAACUGUGUAUACGAAUGAGGAAGAAUCUGAACCUAAUGGAGCUGCGAAACAUCAAGGUUCCGAGCUCCUCAAAUCAUUGGGCGAAAAUUUUCCUUGGCUCAUUAAAUUUUCGAGAGUCAUUGAGUCAUCGGUUGGUAGCAAAAAUGCCAAACUGCUUGAUCGUUUACUAAGUGUAUAUAUCAAGAAUAUGUCACGCGAUGUGAAUAAGUGUUACACUAAGCCGCACAGAGCAGCUAAGCUAAAGACCCAAAUGAGCGAAACUUUGAUAUUCUUUCAUCUCUACUGGAAAAAUAUUAAAGAGAGAGUUGAUGAUCAUAAUCAAUAUUUGGAUAAGAUGUCGCAGAUAUUGGGAAUGUAUUUUGACAUGGAGCUCAAGGCGUCUCGUAGAGGCAAGGAUUUGGCUUCAAAAAUCGCUGCCAAGCUACUUACGGCUAUGUUCAUAUAUCUGGAUAAUUCAGAAGAACAUAUAUUCAGGGUUUUGUUGCGGGCCAAAUUCAUAACGAAAAAUUACAGUCAAAUAUGCAGUCCCAUAUUCACAAAAUUGUUCGCUGGUUUAUCUGGUCGCACAACAAGCAUCACAGCCGUGACUUAUGCCCGUUACUUAUUGGCGUUAAAAUUAUGGAAACGAAUAAAGGACGACCUGCAAGAGAAGAAGAAUAUUAAUGAAUUGGGCGUUGCAAUACUUGGUCACAGAACUCCGAUAUCGAGUACCGAGCUUGGAAAAAUUUUACCAAAUCCGCCAGAGUGUCACAAAAAUGGAACUUUGUGGUUGCUGCAACCGAAUUCAUUUGACCUACGCAAAGCUUGCGACAGUUUUAUUAAAUACGAAUUAAGCGAGCACAUUAUUUCACUGCCAGAUACUACUGAAAGAUUCAAAGUUACGGAUAGCAUUGACGUGGUGCCUUCUGCGCAGAUUAACUUGGAAUCUACUAACAGAUUACAAAAAGAAGAUAUCGUUCAGCUAGACAAAUCUCUGGUUGAAUUACAGACUGUUAAAAAAGUGGUAAAAUUGAGAAGGUUCAAGCCUUCCUUUCCAAAAUUACGGCCAGGUGAAGUAGUGUUUAUUGAUUUGACAGCUGAGAAUGAUGAACAGAAGCAAAAAGAAAAUGGGAAGAAGAAGAAGAAAAAGGACAAGAAGAAGUUGAAGUGGCUGAGAGAAGUCCGUAAGAAAUCAAAAAUAAGGAAGGAACGCAAAAUCCUUGAUAAAACAUGGAUUGAAAAGACAGAUGCUCAUAGUACCGAGGACAACAAUGAAGAAACCGAGUCAAAUUCAAGUAACCGGCCAAUUUCAGAAGAUAAAGUCACUGAAAGUACAGAGCGAAUGGAGAGAACAUUGGUGAAUAUCAACAGAUUUGGUAAACGGGUGACUAGACUACGUGUAGAUUCUGUUGACGGAACAAAGCAGGAGAAAAAUAAAUGCAACGUCAAUUGUAAGGGGUGUAAAUUUUGUCAUUUGAUGGGACAACUAAAGUAUACGACUAUUGAUAGAAUGGAAGAUAUAGAAAGGUCUGAAAACCUCAUCAAAUCACAAUCUUCGCCACUUAAUAAAGACGAUACAACAAUUUCUGUGCAUACAACAUUUGCCGAGUGCGUAAACGAAGAACUGCAAGGUUCUGGAGCUUAUAAUAUUCAAACUGUGUCAGAAUCAUGUGGCUCUUAUUAUGAUACGGAUCAAGUGGAACGAAAAAAUUCUGCAGAAAGCACGACGCAGGAGCCGCUCGAUGUUAUAGACGAUAGUACAACUGAUAAAAACUGUGAUAAACUAAUUACUACAAUUACAAAUACGUCUAGUUUUAAUAUUACUAAUGAAUCUGAGAAGAACAAGGACAUUCUCGUCAAACGAAACGUUUCUUCACCAAAUGUAAAAUUAGAGGCUGGUCACACGACGGAAAUUGUCAUGCCCAUACCCUCGAAAAGUUCAUGUCAAAAUUCACAGUAUAUUUCAAACGUUCGUGACCAUUCGAAAAUGAGAAAAGGUAGUAACGAAACUUGCGUUACAUCAACUACAGCUUCGAUCUUUGGCUGUGGUACCGAGGAACAAAUAAAUGUGAUUUCCGGAUCGAAAAGUGAACCUACGAUACAGGAGAAAGAAUGUGAUCUGAAUUUGGGUGAUAAUAACAAAUUGUACACUCAAGACAUUGCGACAAUUUUCAAGAAAUUAGUUUCAACUUCAAAGAAGACGAAAUCAUUGGAUGUGAGUAACGAUAACUGUAAAAAUCGGGCUAUCAAGGUUGUCAACAACAAAUUGCAAAACAUUUUAAUUCAUGCUCUCUCUUUUGAUGAAGUUAUCGAGGUAGGCAAAGAUGAUAUCGAUUCUCAGUCCGAGGAUGACGAAGGGAAAGGAUAUUGCAGCAAAUCCUCCGAUCAAGAGAAAAAAGUCCAAAAUUUUCACAAAGAGUUGUUCUCCAGUGAGGACUUAGACUUUUUUCAAAUACCAAGUAUACAGCUAUGCGACGAUCUUACAAAUAACAACGACGUAGAAAGUCUUGGGGAUAAUGGCAAAGUUGAUGAAUUUGAAAAUAUUGACAUAUUGGACAGCAUUUUGAACGGCUAUAUGAGCAUGCAAGAUGUACUUGAGGACCAACAACACUUGCCCAUGACUUCUGGUAGCAAUGAAACAUCCUCCGCCAACGUGAUGGGAUUCUUCACGGAAUUCCUUAGGCAAUCAGAAACUGCACAGUCGGCUGACGACGAUUAUGCAACAGAGGAGGCUUGCCAUUCAGACGUAGUGCCUAAAUCUUUGCCAGAAGGCAGUCUGGGCACAACUGGCAUUCUCAAUUCCCUUCUAGAUUCAGAUUUGACAAGCAUGGAUUCUCCUCCUAGUGAUUUUAUGUACUCUAAUGUGCAAACAGUCGAUCCUAGAUUGAUCAGGAGAUCACCUACGGCAGAACGGAGUGCUUUUUUAAACGAUUUCAGCACAGUGUCGGAUUUGUUCUCUCAGUGCGAGCAAUCCUCAGAUGAAACUUUUCAACCACUCGAGUCCCUCGCUAAGAAAACAAAGGACCAGUUGUUUCUGGAUGAAAAGGACAGUCUGAAUUGCAUGGACUUGGAAGAGUUUCGACUAAAUAGCAAUAAGCGAGCUGAUUUUGAAAUGCCCUUGCUUGAAGAAGAGCUGAUUCAGCUACCCCAGCAUCCGCUGAUCGAUGACGCAAUAAUAACACAGAUAUCAGUGCCGACACGCGAAUCGCAGAUGUCCAACCGGUCUGAGAUUGAUAAUUUAAACGAAGUCAAAUCCAUGCUGCAAUCAUGCAUCGGUUCUCAGGAAUUCAACAACAUGCAACAAUUGGCAGAGAAUAGUUAUGACUAUUCAAAAUUGAAUAAUUUCAAAGACUUUGCGUCGUUUAAACUUAGAGACAUCAUACAGCAUUCGCCAAACUCGAUUGAUCACAGCGUAGAUUUACCAACGACCACACUGACGGAUUUCACACCUCCUCAUAGCGUCGAUGCUCCUCAAUCGCCAUACACUUUUGCCUCGUCGCCGGCACCUGUACACGUUCAAACAGUUCCUUACUCUCCUACACAUUCCAUUGGGGCUUCUUGCCAUCAGAUAUCCACAAAUAUGUUGACGCCUCCUCCAAGCACGCCGCAACUAUCUCGUCAAAAUAACUUAACACCACCUCCGACCCCACAACAGAGUCAAAAUCCAUUAAGCGAAACUCUUGGUGAGUGUCAGUCGCAGGCAGCUGUCGCUAUCAACGGAAAUAUCCAAGAGGGUGCAAUUCGUUACUUCACUGUUAAAUCACAAUUCUGUUCGGCUGCUGACGCUAGCAACGACGAUCUUCAAGAACGAAACUCAUGCAUGCAGAGUAAAAUUGCAACGCAAAAGGUACAGAACAAGAUUAUGUACAUCACUAGAUCUAAGAAGUGUGCCAAAUCAAGAACUCGUCCGACCGAAAUUGAGAAAGAUGAAACAGCCAAGCGAGAUGAAGACCAGUCUUUGCAUCUGUCGCAGGUUCAAGUUGCCCUGACGAGAUUACCCACGGCUGAAAUGAAGGGCAGAGAUAGCGGAGACCAAAGUUUAUUCAAGAGUCACUUUAUUGUAAAAAGGGAGGGGGACAUUUCAUCCGACAAACAGCUGAAAGCUGCACAAUUGCAGCGUAUUGAUUUGAGGAAACUGAGCAUAGCCGCUGCACAGAAAAAUAACAAGUCAGUGUUGAUAAAUUUGAACGGAAAGACAAAGCCGGCGUUGGUGUUUGAACGAAAUACCGUGCAAGGUGACAAGUUGUUGAAAAGUAUGAACAACGAUCCUGUCGGUAAUCGUCAUAUUAUAUAUAAAUUGACGCCUAACGUUACACCUGCUACCUCGAAAGAUAAGCCAUAUUCUAAGCUUCCGAAAGUUAACUUUACUCUGCAAAACCGUGCUGACGAUGUCGUCAGUAAAACGCAAUCGACCGCUGCCAGGUCUGUCAGCAGUAAUAUAGGGACACAGAAAGAUCAGGUUCAAAAGAUUAUCAAGCCGCGGUCUUACAUGAGACGAGGUGUUAAAACUCAAGCUAACCAGUCUGGCAAGGAGCUCAACGUCAGGAAAACUUUCACUGUUCCCAACACGGAGGAACCAUCUCUGAAGAGACGCAAGAUCACUACAAAAUUGAUGCCGUCAUUAGAAAACGAAAGCAUUAUUUAUACGGUUAAUCAGCCAAAGCCACAAGAGAAGCAUUCAAACGUUAUCAGAAGAGGUAACUUACCAGUACAUUUAUUUUUCUCCAGUUUAACGAGUAUGUUCGUGUCAAUUUUCCUUACCUGUUACAUCUGUGGCACAAUUUUCUGCUUUUGUACGAAAUUUAAAACUAAAUCGCAGGUAUACGUAGAUUUUUAUUUCCUACGAGUAUCUUGAACCGGAAAACUUUGCUUCAAUAUCAUGAAAUUGAUAUGUUCAGACAAAAUUGUAGAGAUUUUUAACUGACGAGUAAAAUUCUUCCAUCAAAACGUUUGACGAAAUUCAACAUUCACUCAUCAAUGAAGAACCGAGAUCUACAUCAAUGAAGAUAAGAUGGGCCAACAUCAAUGAAGAUACUUUCGUGUAUAUUGCUUUAUUCUUCUGCUCCUCGCUCAUUGAGUAUUUCAUACAAAUCUACGUAACCUUCUGCUUUACAGUACAGUAAACAAUGAAUGCAAGCUAACAACAAACAUUUCGUAAUUUUCCAAAAAUCAUUAGCAUUUGCUUUGCCAUGUUCAUCGCAGAUAAGAUUCGGUUUAGAAUUUCAAUUCACGCACAUUUAAAGGCGAGUAGAGCGACAGGAGAAGAUUCAAAAAAUGAAUUCAAGGUGAAAGUAUCUACCCUAAACUACAAUUUCUAUUCAAUUGCAAACUUGUUUCAAGAUUAUAUUCCACUAACAAUCAUAAAUUCAUCUCUUUUGCAAGAUGAAGCACGUAAAAGAAAUCAGUCGGAGAGACAGAACGAAGAAAAAAUUUGUCUGACAGAAUAACUGCCUGCACGAUUUACUACGCAGCAGUAACAACAGCAGAAAUGAAAACCGGUUAUCGAACCAGUGAAAAUACGUAAGACUUACAUGAUUAUAGUUAUAUUUUACAAUAAAUCAGAAUCAUCGGCUGAUAGGUAUACGUUAUAUAUACCUAUGUAAAUAUAUAUAUAUAUAUAGCUGAAGAAUUUGUUGAAGAGUAUGAUAGAAAAAUCGACCUCUAUAUAUGGUGAUUAUUUUCAAGCAGUUAUCAUCAUUAUUAUUAUUAUUAUUAUUUUUGUUUACAGGGAUUUAUUUAUACUUCAAAUUAGUUUUUAAAUUAUUUUAUUCUGCCGACAGUAGUAACAUUAACUUUAUCUUUGCUCGUUGUUUCAUUGUUUCUUUGCUUAUUGCUUUAUCAGUGACUGUUAAGAAGAUGACUGAAAUUUUUUUCAACAGUUAAUCGGUAAUCGCUAUACUCUUUCUAUAUACAUACAUACAUACAACGCAAGUGCGCAACUCGAUUUUAAUCAUACAGCUUCAUACAUAUAUAUUCACUCAUUUACAAUGUCAUACAAAAAUAUGUGAUAUACAUUUUAGAAAAGAUUAACUACUGUAAUUUUGAUCCCUCCUUUCUUCUCAAUCAAUUGUUAUAUUUUUGAUGUGUAUUAUAUUUUUAUUAUUUCAUCGUUCGCCAUGCAAUUUUGGUACAAAAUUAUCUAGGAAUGAUAAUUCGUUGUCAUUGGUUCGUAAUAUGUCCAAUCUUAUACUGUAAUACCUACAAUAAGAAACUAUUUCGCUAAUUGUAAAUAUAAUAAUUGUAAAUAGAAGAAUGAACGAGACCGUGCGAAUGUAACGUGUAUCUUGUGAUUUUAUUGAUGAUCUCUUACAAAACAAUUUAGACUUUUUUUGGUUUUCACAUUUUAAGUAAUAUAAUUGAUAACUAUAUGAUAUUCAUUGCACUGAAUUUGUAUACUGUAUAUAUAUACACGUAAAUGUAUACACAAUUGAGUGCAAAGAACAAUUUUAAUUUUGUAUCAUACCCAUAUACUAUUAUUAUUAUUAUUGAUAUACUUACAUGAAAUCACGGAAGAUAUUAAAAAGUAACUGCUGCUACUAGACGUCAUUCCAACAAAAAAAAAAAAGUAAUAAUAAUAUUAACUCUUAUAUUCUGUUCAAAAAUCGGUGUCAUUAGUUUAUCCGAGAAUUCAGAAUCAAUCAAAUAAUAUUUAGCAUGUAUUCACCUCUCCUACAAUUUCGCCAAAAUCGAUUGAAUUUGAAAUGCACCAAUUUUCUUUGAUUUUAUUUUCAUCUUCACUUACAUGGAAAGUUGUUUUACUGCUUGUAAACGUAAACGUAAAUGUAACGAAGAAAAAGUCAUACUUGAAUUACCUGAGUUCAAAAGGACAUACGUAGAUUAAGUGCGUUUAAUAAUAGUAAUAAUAAUAAUAAUAUGAAUAAUAAUAAUGACAAUUUUCUGGGCAUUUAUACCUACUAAUAAUUAUUGUUAUGAAUUUGAUAUUUUGCCAUCAGUGUACGUCUAUUUGUACGUUAUAGUAUAAUACGAGGCAAAGUCCACAAUUUGAAUGAAUUGCACACGUUUUCUAAAAAAAAAAAAAAACAAAACAAAAAAAGAAUCAAAUUCAGUUAGUUUUAUAUGUAUAUAUAUAUAUAUAAAACUAUAUAUGUAUAUUUUUUUCAACUUUGUUUAACAUAGAUAAACUGUCAAAGAAAUUCAGUAACUUUAUGUUAAACUUAUAAUUGUAAUUGUUUUUAGUACAAUUUUUUUUUUUUUUAAAUCGAAAUUAGUAACCAAUAAUUUGCAACGUGUGAUGCGUCGUUUUAAGUUUUUUUAUUUUUUACUUUCGUAUUUAUUGGGUUUCGUUAUAGCCAAUUCUAUGAUUACAAUGAAAAUAAUUGAAGAAAUAGAACGCGUGUCCAGUCAUUGUUAAUAUGUCCUAGAAAUUUUAUAUAUAUUAUUAUUUUAUAACUAUGUAAUUUCCCAGUAGCAAGUUAAGAGAGGAAAGAAAAAAAAUUAAAAAAAUUAAAAAAAAAAAAAAAAAAAAACAAGUACAAGUAAUAAGUAAUAAGGUUAAAUAUUGUAACGUACGGCACUUGCUUAGGAAGAGAAUAAUAUCGAAUAAAAGUUGUACACCGUUAUAAAACUAAACAAAAAUAAGAAAAUCAUAUUACUUUCUUUAUAUCAUACAACACUGGCGAACAUUACGUUUUUUUUUUGUUUUAGUUUCUUUUUUCUCAAGGAACUAGCACAUUCUAACUCACAAUAGUGACAGCUUUUGUAGUUUUACAUGUUUCAUGACGUUUUCGCUUAAUAUUGUCGACUACGUAUCGAUCAUUCCUUUAACAUAAAAAAUUGUUGAAUCGUAAAUUUGAGUAGAGAAAAAAGU
Molecule: RNA transcript, 8301 nt
Organism: Diprion similis
Lineage: Eukaryota; Metazoa; Arthropoda; Insecta; Hymenoptera; Diprionidae
Exons: 10
Source: RefSeq, a predicted model, not a curated record